This 214-nucleotide ribosomal RNA is filed under the name uncultured eukaryote. RNAcentral describes it as "partial 18S ribosomal RNA". It matches the Rfam family "Eukaryotic small subunit ribosomal RNA", at positions 1299 to 1458 of the family's 1831-position model. The record is from RNAcentral.
UGGUGGAGUGAUUUGUCUGGUUAAUUCCGAUAACGAACGAGAUCGCAUCCUACUAAAUAGUGGCGUUAAUCAUCUACCGGGUGAAGGCUGCUUGCUUUGAGCUUCUGGGAGACUGGAGGCUUGGACGGGUGGUUGGAUCCUUGAUGAAUUGGCGUCAAUAAAUACUUCUUAGAGGGACUGUCGGUGAUUAACCGAAGGAAGUGCGGCAAUAACA